AGAAGGUCCAUUCCGAGGAAUUUGCUUGCGUGGUGUGGUGGAGAAGAUACAGCUGGUCACUUUGUAAUGGAAGAAAGUGGAGCUGACCAUGAUAUUGCUAUGGAAGGAUCUAAUGGUUUGUUCAUAGGCAGCUGUAAUGGUACAGAAGAGUCAGAAACAAAUGAUCAGGUUUUUCAGGUGAGAAGUUGCUGCUCAAAGUACAUUUUACUGUUUUUCCUCUGUGAAAGCAACUAACGUGCAUGGAUUCCAGGGAUCCAUUGUUUGGCCAGAGCGACUCUCCCCCGGCCCUGCCCAUCCCAGUCCCCGUCCCGGG
Molecule: long non-coding RNA, 313 nt
Filed under: Zosterops lateralis melanops
Lineage: Eukaryota; Metazoa; Chordata; Aves; Passeriformes; Zosteropidae
Description: lncRNA (ENSZLMG00000000019.1)
Source: RNAcentral